RNAcentral lists this transfer RNA (69 nucleotides) under Dipodomys ordii (Ord's kangaroo rat). It matches the Rfam family "tRNA". From Rfam's summary of the family: Transfer RNA (tRNA) molecules are approximately 80 nucleotides in length. Their secondary structure includes four short double-helical elements and three loops (D, anti-codon, and T loops). Further hydrogen bonds mediate the characteristic L-shaped molecular structure. tRNAs have two regions of fundamental functional importance: the anti-codon, which is responsible for specific mRNA codon recognition, and the 3' end, to which the tRNAs corresponding amino acid is attached (by aminoacyl-tRNA synthetases). tRNAs cope with the degeneracy of the genetic code in two manners: having more than one tRNA (with a specific anti-codon) for a particular amino acid; and 'wobble' base-pairing, i.e. permitting non-standard base-pairing at the 3rd anti-codon position. Lineage: Eukaryota; Metazoa; Chordata; Mammalia; Rodentia; Heteromyidae. The record is from Rfam by way of RNAcentral.
GUGGUGGCUCAUUGGUAGAGUGCUUGCUUAGCAUGCAUGAGGCCCUGGGUUCGAUUCCUCAGCACCACA